UAUUAAGGGCACCACAAAAGGGCUCCGCAAGAACGCGUGGAGCAUGUGGCUUAAUUUGACUCAACGCGGGGAAUCUUACUAGGUCCGGACCGAGUCUAUGAACGUCGUACCGUUGGGUGCUACGUGAUUACUGGAUGAGUGGUGCAUGGCCGUUCUUAGUUCGUGGUGUUAAUUGUCUACUUAAUUGUUUUGAUUCUCGCCUCGUACGAGAAUUGUUAACGAACGAGAUCGAGACCCGUGGUUGCKUUGUGUUUGAAUUCGGUAUUACUACGGGGAUCGCGUAAUACUCAACGGUACGAUCGAAAGACUCGGCAAUAACAGGUCUGUGAUGCCCUCAGAUGUUCUAGGCUGCACACGUGCUACAUUGUGAGUUGUAGUAUAUUGUGUAUGCGUAGAUAUGUCUAAGAUCCCCCGCAUCGAGUCUCAAUUACUCACGUGGUUGGACUCACCGAUUGUUGUCAUUAUU
This 466-nucleotide ribosomal RNA is filed under the name Amphistegina lobifera. RNAcentral's name for it is "SSU rRNA". Lineage: Eukaryota; Foraminifera; Rotaliida; Amphisteginidae. The record is from RNAcentral.